AACUCCAGCAUGAAUAAGUCAAACAGAGGAGAAGCAUCCAGCAAAAGAUCAAGAAAGAGCCACAAGUAAGGCAGAAGGGAAAUCAGUUGAGUGUUCUGUUACUAGAGUUCAAGAUGACAGAGCUGUGGAGUGUCACAAAUCCUGUUGAAGGGGAUUCCCUCCUGUACAAGCAUCCUAUUUUCUGCAAGGAUUUGUUCGGCAGGUAGCAUGAUACAAUGAAGCCCAGAAAUUCAUUAUUCAAUGUUCUCUUCCUCCGUCUGUACCACAUAUUUCCCAUGACCUCCAUCCAAAAAGAAAUAGACAAAAAUUUUGCUUGCUUCCUGAUGCCUGGUAGGCUCAGAGCCGUCUAGAGUGUAAUAAUGGCUCCCCAAACACCCUAAUCCCCAAAACCUGUGAAUACUGUGAAUGUAUUACCUUUCAUGGCAAAAGGGACCUUGCAGUUCUGAUGAAGACUCCUGAUGCCUCAGCCUGGAAAUCAAAGACCUAUAUAACCUGGCUCCAAAUGUGCUUUACAAACAAUUGCAACAAGUCACCUCCUGGGUCAUUCUUCUCGAAACAAACAAACAAACAAACAAACAUUCAUUCUUGCUCGUUCCUGUUCCUGAAAGAUUGUCUCCUCUUUCUUGCUUAUUUAAAUUUCAUACUGACUUGAAUAUCCAAAUACAAUCUUACUUAAUCUGU
Molecule: non-coding RNA, 681 nt
Organism: Macaca mulatta (Rhesus monkey)
Lineage: Eukaryota; Metazoa; Chordata; Mammalia; Primates; Cercopithecidae
Source: RefSeq, a predicted model, not a curated record